This 253-nucleotide ribosomal RNA is filed under the name uncultured bacterium. RNAcentral's name for it is "partial 16S ribosomal RNA". It matches the Rfam family "Bacterial small subunit ribosomal RNA", at positions 524 to 776 of the family's 1533-position model. The record is from RNAcentral.
UACGUAGGCAGCGAGCGUUGUUCGGAGUUACUGGGCGUAAAGCGUGCGUAGGCGGUUUUCCAAGUCUGGUGUGAAAUCUCCCGGCUCAACCGGGAGGGUGCGCUAGAAACUGGGAGGCUGGAGUGCGGGAGAGGCAGGCGGAAUUCCUGGUGUAGCGGUGAAAUGCGUAGAUAUCAGGAGGAACACCGGUGGUGUAGACGGCCUGCUGGACCGUGACUGACGCUGAGGCACGAAAGCGUGGGGAGCAAACAGG